Molecule: ribosomal RNA, 497 nt
Filed under: uncultured bacterium
Lineage: Bacteria
Description: partial 16S ribosomal RNA
Rfam family: Bacterial small subunit ribosomal RNA
Source: RNAcentral
GAUGAACGCUGGCGGCGUGCCUAAUACAUGCAAGUCGAGCGAACAGACGAGGAGCUUGCUCCUUUGACGUUAGCGGCGGACGGGUGAGUAACACGUGGGUAACCUACCUAUAAGACUGGGAUAACUUCGGGAAACCGGAGCUAAUACCGGAUAAUAUUUCGAACCGCAUGGUUCGAUAGUGAAAGAUGGCUUUGCUAUCACUUAUAGAUGGACCUGCGCCGUAUUAGCUAGUUGGUAAGGUAACGGCUUACCAAGGCAACGAUACGUAGCCGACCUGAGAGGGUGAUCGGCCACACUGGAACUGAGACACGGUCCAGACUCCUACGGGAGGCAGCAGUAGGGAACCUUCCGCAAUGGGCGAAAGCCUGACGGAGCAACGCCGCGUGAGUGAUGAAGGUCUUCGGAUCGUAAAACUCUGUUAUUAGGGAAGAACAAAAGUGUAAGUAACUGUGCACGUCUUGACGGUACCUAAUCAGAAAGCCACGGCUAACUACGUG